AUUGAACGCUGGCGGCAGGCCUAACACAUGCAAGUCGAGCGGAUGAAGGGAGCUUGCUCCUGGAUUCAGCGGCGGACGGGUGAGUAAUGCCUAGGAAUCUGCCUGGUAGUGGGGGAUAACGUCCGGAAACGGGCGCUAAUACCGCAUACGUCCUGAGGGAGAAAGUGGGGGAUCUUCGGACCUCACGCUAUCAGAUGAGCCUAGGUCGGAUUAGCUAGUUGGUGGGGUAAAGGCCUACCAAGGCGACGAUCCGUAACUGGUCUGAGAGGAUGAUCAGUCACACUGGAACUGAGACACGGUACAGACUCCUACGGGAGGCAGCAGUGGGGAAGAUUGGAAGAUGGGCGAAAGACUGAUCCAGCCAUGCCGCGUGUGUGAAGAAGGUCUUCGGAUUGUAAAGCACUUUAAGUUGGGAGGAAGGGCAGUAAGUUAAUACCUUGCUGUUUGGACGUUACCAACAGAAUAAGCACCGGCUAACUUCGU
This 483-nucleotide ribosomal RNA is filed under the name uncultured bacterium. Its description in RNAcentral is "partial 16S ribosomal RNA". It matches the Rfam family "Bacterial small subunit ribosomal RNA", at positions 30 to 506 of the family's 1533-position model. The record is from RNAcentral.